This 479-nucleotide ribosomal RNA is filed under the name uncultured bacterium. Its description in RNAcentral is "bacterial SSU rRNA". It matches the Rfam family "Bacterial small subunit ribosomal RNA", at positions 28 to 517 of the family's 1533-position model. The record is from RNAcentral.
GACGAACGCUGGCGGCGUGCCUAACACAUGCAAGUCGAGCGGGGAGGAGGAAGCUUGCUUCCGAAUCCUAGCGGCGGACGGGUGAGUAACGCGUGAGCAACCUGCCUUGAACUGGGGGAUAACGCAUCGAAAGAUGUGCUAAUACCGCGUAAGACCACAGUACCGCAUGGUACAGAGGUCAAAGGAGCAAUCCGGUUUAAGAUGGGCUCGCGUCCGAUUAGCUAGUUGGUGAGGUAACGGCUCACCAAGUCGACGAUCAGUAGCCGAACUGAGAGGUUGAUCGGCCGCAUUGGGACUGAGACACGGCCCAGACUCCUACGGGAGGCAGCAGUGGGGAAUAUUGCGCAAUGGGGGAAACCCUGACGCAGCAACGCCGCGUGCAGGAAGAAGGUCUUCGGAUUGUAAACUGUUGUCGCAAGGGAAGAAGACAGUGACGGUACCUUGUGAGAAAGUCACGGCUAACUACGUGCCAGCAGCCG